This 253-nucleotide ribosomal RNA is filed under the name uncultured bacterium. Its description in RNAcentral is "partial 16S ribosomal RNA". It matches the Rfam family "Bacterial small subunit ribosomal RNA", at positions 524 to 776 of the family's 1533-position model. The record is from RNAcentral.
AACGUAGGAGGCAAGCGUUAUCCGGAGUUACUGGGCGUAAAGCGUGCGUAGGCGGGCUUGUAAGUGGGUGGUGAAAGCGCCCGGCUAAACCGGGCGAUGUCCAUUCAGACUGCAGGUCUAGAGGCGGAUAGAGGGGUGCGGAAUUCCGGGUGUAGCGGUGAAAUGUGUAGAGAUCCGGAGGAACACCAGUGGUGCAAACGGCGCCCUGGGUCCGUACUGACGCUGAAGCACGAAAGCGUGGGGAGCGAACGGG